Molecule: non-coding RNA, 1093 nt
Organism: Anolis sagrei ordinatus
Lineage: Eukaryota; Metazoa; Chordata; Lepidosauria; Squamata; Anolidae
Source: RefSeq, a predicted model, not a curated record
GUAGGAGUUGAAGUCCAAAACACCCAGAGGGCUGAAGUUUGCCCACACCUGGUACAGACUCAUAUGAGGACUGGGAAGCCCUGGCUCUUGAGCACUCCAGCUGGAGGUCAGCUGUGACCAGCAGUGCUGUAGAAUUUGAGGCAGGAAUGGAGGGUGAAAGCGAGAAACAUGCCAAUAGGAAGGCGCAUCAAGCCAGCCCUGAAAAGGAUCGCCUUCCUCCUGGAAACCAAUGCCCUCAUUGCGGGAGAAGAUGCAGAUCAAGAAUAGGACUCCACAGUCACCUACGGACCCACUGCCAGGACACCGAUCUUGGGAGAUACUCGUACUCGGACAAUGAGGAAUGGCCUAAGUAAGAAGCUGCCCUGCCUCUGGAAAAGCAAUCAGUGGUCAUGAAAAGACCCUUAUCUUUGGACAUUCUUUGCAUGGACAAUAGUAAAAGAAAUCCUUUUGUCUUCGGAGUUGGGCACCAUUAGGAUUUCUGUUUGGCAGACUUUUUAAUCAUAUAACAAUGGGGGGAAUAUGACCUUAGGAAAGUCCUCUUUUCCUCCAAGCCGUUUUUCUUUCAGACUUCUCCACAGAGAACUUCCACCCAAGUCUUCCCCUUUGUGUCAUAUCUGAUGGCGACAGGAAAACCUGGAUUUCUUUAACAUAUGUUUAUUGCCUUCACUCAAGAACACAAUAGAAUGGCUUGGCUGGCAGACCCCCCACCCGGAUCUCGCUAAGCCUCAGGGACAAUUUUGUCAUAAUCUACUCCAGAAUGCAUUGUCCCCCUUCAUCCCGCCUCCCUCCCUUCUGAUUCGCUGGAGUGUCAAGGCAGCAGGAGCCUCCUGAUAGGCUCUGGUGCACCGCGAAAGCCCUGUGAUUGGCCCUGAUGCAUGGGGGACGGCCAAGCCUCCUCCCAGCUGUUUGCACAUCAGCCAAUCCCCUUCGAGCUGGGCGGGAGGGGGGAGCGGGAAUUUUGAAACUCACAACUCUGUAUUUUCUAUAAAAAUGGCCUUUACUUCUGUAACCACAUGCUCUGCUUGGUGAAUGAUUGCCGCUCUGCAUCCUUUUCAGCUGAAUUGCUAAUAAACAUCGGCGGCACUUCCUUCCA